RNAcentral lists this ribosomal RNA (762 nucleotides) under Pseudomonas sp. 01WB04.1-31. RNAcentral describes it as "bacterial SSU rRNA". It matches the Rfam family "Bacterial small subunit ribosomal RNA", at positions 11 to 767 of the family's 1533-position model. Lineage: Bacteria; Pseudomonadati; Pseudomonadota; Gammaproteobacteria; Pseudomonadales; Pseudomonadaceae. The record is from RNAcentral.
GUUUGAUCCUGGCUCAGAUUGAACGCUGGCGGCAGGCCUAACACAUGCAAGUCGAGCGGUAGAGAGAAGCUUGCUUCUCUUGAGAGCGGCGGACGGGUGAGUAAUGCCUAGGAAUCUGCCUGGUAGUGGGGGAUAACGUUCGGAAACGGACGCUAAUACCGCAUACGUCCUACGGGAGAAAGCAGGGGACCUUCGGGCCUUGCGCUAUCAGAUGAGCCUAGGUCGGAUUAGCUAGUUGGUGGGGUAAUGGCUCACCAAGGCGACGAUCCGUAACUGGUCUGAGAGGAUGAUCAGUCACACUGGAACUGAGACACGGUCCAGACUCCUACGGGAGGCAGCAGUGGGGAAUAUUGGACAAUGGGCGAAAGCCUGAUCCAGCCAUGCCGCGUGUGUGAAGAAGGUCUUCGGAUUGUAAAGCACUUUAAGUUGGGAGGAAGGGCAGUUACCUAAUACGUGAUUGUUUUGACGUUACCGACAGAAUAAGCACCGGCUAACUCUGUGCCAGCAGCCGCGGUAAUACAGAGGGUGCAAGCGUUAAUCGGAAUUACUGGGCGUAAAGCGCGCGUAGGUGGUUUGUUAAGUUGGAUGUGAAAUCCCCGGGCUCAACCUGGGAACUGCAUUCAAAACUGACUGACUAGAGUAUGGUAGAGGGUGGUGGAAUUUCCUGUGUAGCGGUGAAAAUGCGUAGAUAUAGGAAGGAACACCAGUGGCGAAGGCGACCACCUGGACUGAUACUGACACUGAGGUGCGAAAGCGUGGGGA